Molecule: ribosomal RNA, 871 nt
Filed under: uncultured marine bacterium
Lineage: Bacteria
Description: bacterial SSU rRNA
Rfam family: Bacterial small subunit ribosomal RNA
Source: RNAcentral
UGGCGGCAGGCCUAACACAUGCAAGUCGAGCGCGCCUUCGGGUGAGCGGCGGACGGGUUAGUAACGCGUGGGAACGUGCCCUUCUCUACGGAAUAGCCUCUGGAAACGGAGAGUAAUACCGUAUACGCCCUUUGGGGGAAAGAUUUAUCGGAGAAGGAUCGGCCCGCGUUAGAUUAGGUAGUUGGUGGGGUAACGGCCUACCAAGCCUACGAUCUAUAGCUGGUUUUAGAGGAUGAUCAGCAACACUGGGACUGAGACACGGCCCAGACUCCUACGGGAGGCAGCAGUGGGGAAUCUUAGACAAUGGGCGCAAGCCUGAUCUAGCCAUGCCGCGUGAGUGAAGAAGGCCUUAGGGUCGUAAAACUCUUUCGCCAGAGAUGAUAAUGACAGUAUCUGGUAAAGAAACCCCGGCUAACUCCGUGCCAGCAGCCGCGGUAAUACGGAGGGGGUUAGCGUUGUUCGGAAUUACUGGGCGUAAAGCGCACGUAGGCGGACUGGAAAGUUGGGGGUGAAAUCCCGGGGCUCAACCUCGGAACUGCCUCCAAAACUAUCAGUCUAGAGUUCGAGAGAGGUGAGUGGAAUUCCAAGUGUAGAGGUGAAAUUCGUAGAUAUUUGGAGGAACACCAGUGGCGAAGGCGGCUCACUGGCUCGAUACUGACGCUGAGGUGCGAAAGUGUGGGGAGCAAACAGGAUUAGAUACCCUGGUAGUCCACACCGUAAACGAUGAAUGCCAGUCGUCGGCAAGUAUACUUGUCGGUGACACACCUAACGGAUUAAGCAUUCCGCCUGGGGAGUACGGUCGCAAGAUUAAAACUCAAAGGAAUUGACGGGGGCCCGCACAAGCGGUGGAGCAUGUGGUUUAAUUCGAAGC